This 433-nucleotide ribosomal RNA is filed under the name uncultured bacterium. RNAcentral describes it as "partial 16S ribosomal RNA". It matches the Rfam family "Bacterial small subunit ribosomal RNA", at positions 29 to 507 of the family's 1533-position model. The record is from RNAcentral.
AACGAACACUGGCGGCAUGCCUAACACAUGCAAGUCGAACGAGACCUUCGGGUCUAGUGGCGCACGGGUGCGUAACGCGUGGGAACCUGCCCUUAGGUUCGGAAUAACUCCCCGAAAGGGGUGCUAAUACCGGAUAAUGUCUUCGGACCAAAGAUUUAUCGCCUUUGGAUGGGCCCGCGUUGGAUUAGCUAGUUGGUAGGGUAAAAGCCUACCAAGGCGACGAUCCAUAGCUGGUCUGAGAGGAUGAUCAGCCACACUGGGACUGAGACGCGGCCCAGACUCCUACGGGAGGCAGCAGUGGGGAAUAUUGGACAAUGGGCGAAAGCCUGAUCCAGCAAUGCCGCGUGAGUGAUGAAGGCCUUAGGGUUGUAAAGCUCUUUUACCCGGGAUGAUAAUGACAGUACCGGGAGAAUAAGCUCCGGCUAACUCCGUG